Molecule: long non-coding RNA, 1933 nt
Organism: Pomacea canaliculata
Lineage: Eukaryota; Metazoa; Mollusca; Gastropoda; Architaenioglossa; Ampullariidae
Exons: 2
Source: RefSeq, a predicted model, not a curated record
AAAAAUGUGUGUCAUAUUUUUAUAAAAAGUCUUACAAAACUUGCAGUUAUCUACAUUAAAAGCUAUUUAAUUUGCAUGCUAUUCUGCUCAACCCGAAUAUCACGGAAAGCCAGACUAUACUGUUGUCAACGUUAGUUACAAUAGGUUUAAAGGUUUGCUGCCAACAAUUGGCUGCUCACGCUACGUUUACCACGAUCGAUGACUUCUUUCAGAUUAAACUGAACGUCGACCGUUUCGUUGGGGCAGGUGCAUGUCCCCACCUUUCUCACGGGUCGACCUGCGACCCACUCCCCAGAAGGGGAAAUAACACUUCAAUGUCAAAUAAUAAAACUUGUGCAGAUCUCCAGAGAUGGGAGCUAAUUUCCAAAAAUUGGGUGCACAAGAUUUGCAAUAUAGUACAGUGGAGCAGAAAGAGGGAUAUCACAAUAUGGUAAACAGUGUAAAAUGCGAAUGAUGUCAACUGCUGCAUUUUUUUCUACCAGGAAAUGACAAUUGAGCUGAUUUCACAAUGAGAAAUAAAUAUGCUGUUAGUUUAAAUUGUAAAUUUAUGUUUUUUAUCAUGUACGACAGUACUGUAUUUCUCUGAUUGCUUCCAACCCACACAACAUGGAUUGCCAGCCAAACAACUGCACAUAGAAUAAACCCGGGCCCCCUCGCUCAUGUGAUACAUCAUCACAUUAAGUCAAAUGAGAAUUAAGAAACAUCAAGGGUUUUGCCAAACGUUUCUGUAAAAUACACACAGGUUUCAUUGUUUUCAUUUAACUUCUACUGUUCAUGCUGUUAUAUAAGUGACUUAGUACCCAGAUUAUGACCCUAGAGUUGUGGGUAAAGCACUGUACCAGUGUACAUUCAUUAUUACUCAAUAAAUCUUAGUUGUCCUUAAUGUAUAAGGUGAAUGUCCAUGAAAAAUUUGUUGUUGGCACAUGCACUUAAAAUGGACACUUACAACACCUACACUUGCAAAUGAAUAUUUGCCUUACGUUUACAUAUGUAUAUAUAAGCACACACACAUAUGUACACCAUCCCCUUUCAUGUACACAUGCAGGCACCCUCGCAAAAAUAAUGUUAAUACCACAUAAUAUUAACCCUUAUGCUUCAUAUUGAGAUGGGUGUAGCUGCAAACAUAAGGAACAUAUGGCUAUUCAGAUUGUUCAUACCAGUGCAUAGCUCCUCACAGUGUUACAUUGUCCCAGUGUGCAGUGACUAUUGUUAUUAAUAAUCUAUUUAACUGUAAAAAAUUUGAUGACCAGUGUAAAAAUGAUUUACCACUUUACUAUAUUCACAAUCCAAAUGCUUAUAAAUUCCAGCCAUUAUUAACUUUAAAGAAAUCAAAAGACCCUCAGCAUAUUAGCAAAAGUUGUGAAGAUAUUACUAAGGAUGGUGAACCAGAUAAAUGAAUAAAAUGUAUAUGUGAGAUAUUGUACAUUGCAAUGGAUGGGAGUGUGUACCCCUUGGAGGGUGAAUAAAUAGUAAAGAAUACAGAAUGUAUGUGACAGGAAGAGAGAGAGAGAGAGCAAAGGUGUGUUUAUCCUGUUUGAGUAUGCUUUUAUUACAUAUGCAGGUAUGAGGCUGGAGGAAGGAAAGAAUGAGGGCUACAAAAAAUUAGUUGGGAUUUUUUUUAUAUAUAUAAGCUGUCUGCAUGUAGGUUUGGUUAAAGCUCUGUGCUUUGAACUAAAGAUUUGCAUUGUCAUCAAGAUCCUAGGUGUGAAUGACUUGGGGAAACAUGCAUUUGCAAGGUACUCUUGUACUAAGGCUUUUAUUGCAUGUGCACAUUACUUUCAAACAUGACUGUCCACUGCAAAGGAUUUUAUUAUAAUUAGAAGUCAAUGGUUUCUUACCCUUUUUAUGUGGAAAGUCUUCUUUGUUGUAAUUUAUCAUUACAUUGGACCAUGUGUGCAAUUUUUAAAUUCAUGAAUAUACACCUUUCAUAUUA